Molecule: ribosomal RNA, 523 nt
Filed under: Achnanthidium digitatum
Lineage: Eukaryota; Bacillariophyta; Bacillariophyceae; Cocconeidales; Achnanthidiaceae
Description: SSU rRNA
Rfam family: Eukaryotic small subunit ribosomal RNA
Source: RNAcentral
CGUAUAUUAAAGUUGUUGCAGUUAAAAAGCUCGUAGUUGGAUUUGUGGUGACAUUUGUGGUCCAUUUUUGGUACUAACGAGUGUUGCCAUCCUUGGGUGGAACUGUGUGGCAUUAAGUUGUCGUGCAGGGAUGCCCAUCGUUUACUGUGAAAAAAUCAGCGCGUUCAAAGCAGGCUUAUGCCGUUGAAUGUCUUAGCAUGGAAUAAUAAGAUAGGACCUUGGUGCUAUUUUGUUGGUUUGCGUACCGAGGUAAUGAUUAAUAGGGACAGUUGGGGGUAUUCGUAUUCCAUUGUCAGAGGUGAAAUUCUUGGAUUUCUGGAAGACGAACUACUGCGAAAGCAUUUACCAAGGAUGUUUUCAUUAAUCAAGAACGAAAGUUAGGGGAUCGAAGAUGAUUAGAUACCAUCGUAGUCUUAACCAUAAACUAUGCCGACAAGGGAUUGGUGGGGUUUCGUUACGUCUCCAUCAGCACCUUAUGAGAAAUCACAAGUUUUUGGGUUCCGGGGGGAGUAUGGUCGCAAGG